RNAcentral lists this ribosomal RNA (513 nucleotides) under Nocardia sp. 306E07. Its description in RNAcentral is "bacterial SSU rRNA". It matches the Rfam family "Bacterial small subunit ribosomal RNA", at positions 93 to 620 of the family's 1533-position model. Lineage: Bacteria; Bacillati; Actinomycetota; Actinomycetes; Mycobacteriales; Nocardiaceae. The record is from RNAcentral.
GAGCGGCGAACGGGUGAGUAACACGUGGGUGAUCUGCCUCGCACUCUGGGAUAAGCCUGGGAAACUGGGUCUAAUACCGGAUAGGACCACUGAUCGCAUGGUUGGUGGUGGAAAGAUUUAUCGGUGUGAGAUGGGCCCGCGGCCUAUCAGCUUGUUGGUGGGGUAAUGGCCUACCAAGGCGACGACGGGUAGCCGGCCUGAGAGGGCGACCGGCCACACUGGGACUGAGACACGGCCCAGACUCCUACGGGAGGCAGCAGUGGGGAAUAUUGCACAAUGGGCGAAAGCCUGAUGCAGCGACGCCGCGUGAGGGAUGACGGCCUUCGGGUUGUAAACCUCUUUCGACAGGGACGAAGCGCAAGUGACGGUACCUGUAGAAGAAGCACCGGCCAACUACGUGCCAGCAGCCGCGGUAAUACGUAGGGUGCGAGCGUUGUCCGGAAUUACUGGGCGUAAAGAGCUUGUAGGCGGUCUGUCGCGUCGUCCGUGAAAACUUGGGGCUCAACCCCAAGC